This 1255-nucleotide ribosomal RNA is filed under the name Staphylococcus aureus. Its description in RNAcentral is "bacterial SSU rRNA". It matches the Rfam family "Bacterial small subunit ribosomal RNA", at positions 194 to 1460 of the family's 1533-position model. The record is from RNAcentral. Lineage: Bacteria; Bacillati; Bacillota; Bacilli; Caryophanales; Staphylococcaceae.
AAGCUGAGAAAUGGUUUCUGCUAUCACUUACAGAUGGGCCCCCGGCGCAUUUUAUCUAUGGGGAGGUAACGGCUCACCAAGGCGACGAUGCGUAUCCGACCUGAGAGGGUGAUCGGCCACACUGGGACUGAGACACGGCCCAGACUCCUACGGGAGGCAGCAGUAGGGAAUCUUCCGCAAUGGACGAAAGUCUGACGGAGAACGCCGCGUGAGUGAUGAAGGUUUUCGGAUCGUAAAACUCUGUUGUUAGGGAAGAACAAGUACCGGAGUAACUGCCGGUACCUUGACGGUACCUAACCCAAAGCCACGGCUACUACGUGCAGCAGCCGCGGUAUACGUAGGUGGCAAGCGUUUCGGAAUUAUUGGGCGUAAAGCGCGCGCAGGCGGUUCUUUAGUCUGAUGUGAAAGCCCCCGGCUCAACCGGGGAGGGUCAUUGGAAAUUGGGGAACUUGAGUGUGAAGAGAGGAGUGGAAUUCCACGUGUAGCUGAAAUGCGUAGAGAUGUGAGGAACACCAGUGGCGAGGGCGACUCUUUGGUCUGUACUGACGAUGAGGAUGGAAAGCGUGGGGAGCAACACAGGAUUAGAUACCUGGUAGUCCACCCGUAAACGAUGAGUGCUAAGUGUUAGAGGGUUUCCCCCUUUAUUGUGCCGCAAAGCCUAUUAACUUCGCCUGGGGGAGUAGGCCACAAGGUUGAAAUUCAAAGGAAUUGACGGGGGCCCCCCCAAGCGGUAGCAUGUGUGUUAAUUCAAAGAACACGAAACCUUUACCAGGUCUUGUCAUCUCCUGACAACCCCUAGAGAUAGGCGUUCCCCUUCGGGGGACAGGAAGACAGGUGGUGCAUGGUUGUGUUCAGCUCGUGUGUUGAGAUGUUGGGUUAAGUCCCGCAACGAGCGCAACCCUUGAUUUUAGUUGCCACCAUUCAGUUGGCCAUUUUAAGGUGACUGCGGGUGACAACCGGGAGGAAGGUGGGGAGGACGUCAAUUCUUCAUCCCCCUUAUGACUUGGGUUACACACGUGUUCCAAUGGUAGGUCCAAAGGGAGGGAAUACCGGGAGGCUAAGAGAUUCCCAUAAAACCUUUUUCAGUUGGGAUUGCAUGUUGCAAUUGGCUUCCAGGAAGCGGGAAUCGUUGGUAUUCGAGGUUCACCAGGUCGGGUGGAAUAGGUUCCGGGUCUUGGUCCCCCCCGCCGGUCCCACCAGGGGAUUUGGUACCACCGGAAGUGGGUGGGGUACCCUUUAGGAGCCAGCCGCCUAA